ACAUUUGUCUUAUCUGAAUUGCUUUCUCAGGCAACCAUCCAUCCGGCCUUCCAGGUAGUAUUAAAAAACUAAAACUUACUAGAUCAUCUCAUCUGGACCAUGAGAAGUCAGACUCCUCACCCAUCAUGACUGCUUAAGACCACCUGUUCCCUGUUGACCAACUCCUCUUCCUUAUCUCUCCCUAAUUCCUGUUUUCUCACAUAUAGUUACCUUUCUUCCUGCUACAUAAACCCCUAAUUUUAGUAGGUCAGGAGGAUGGAUUUGAGGCUUAUCUCCAUCUCCUGAGCUAUAGCACCCAAUCAAAGCUUUCUUCCCUAGCAACACUCAUUGUCUCAGUGAUUGGCUUUCUGUGUGGCACGCAACUGGACCUAGACAAACCUCUGGCAUUUUGGUACACCUAGGCUGCUAACUGGGGGCAGCAGGUCAAUGUCCCCAUUUACCAACCCAAGCAAGUAAGCCCACCUGAGCCACAGAACCUUCUCCCUCCCUACAAAAGGCUCAGGAGUAGGAGGCACCAGACAGCUUUUAUCGUCUCUAACACUAACUCAGUUUUGAAUAAAUUGAAGAGCGAGGAAGAGUCAAAGGAAAAAAUGCUGGGUCAGUGAUUACCCUUGAAAAUACUUUGCAAUUACAAAAACAAACAUUUAAUGAACUGAUCCAGUUAGUCACCAACAGAAUACUUAAGUACGCCUCUUGAUUCCUUUAUUGGAAGAACUAUGACCCAUCCAAAUCAUUCUUCAAAGUCAGUCUGUCUGUGAAGAAUAAAACAAUGAUUGCUAAUAAAAUGUUUAGGACUAUUAGAGGUUAUAUAAAGUAUUAGUGUUAGGUCUGUAGUUUGUCCAGCUUUUCUGGGAAAUGUCUCAGUUUAGAGAGAUAAAACCUGGUUCACCUAACUGUGAACUAGAUCCCAGACAUGGCUGAAACUGGGCCAGGGUCCUUCCCUAAGAAUUUGGAGGUGGGACUAUGCUAUCCAGCUUGGUCUGGCUGCUGUCUUCAACUAUGGAAAUGGAUAACUCCCACCACAUGAAAUGGAGAAUGACAAAACUAGUCUGCAGCAAGAAAUCAGGAUGAAAUAACCGAGAAAAGCUGACAAAGGUGAAUUAAAGACAAGAACCCCUCAUCGGCUCUGCUGAAUCUCCCUUAGACCUCAUGGCAGACUAGGAAAGCUCGCUAACACCCAACCCCCUCUCCUCCCCACUGCAAGGGUCAGGUUUGCACUGUGGUUUGAUGGCUCUCUCAGCCUCCCCAGUUUCUACCCCCUUUUCUUUCACAUAGGUGAUAUCCUUAAUCAAAUCCUAUAGCUGUGAUCCCA
Molecule: long non-coding RNA, 1312 nt
Organism: Homo sapiens (human)
Lineage: Eukaryota; Metazoa; Chordata; Mammalia; Primates; Hominidae
Gene: WASF3-AS1
Product: WASF3 antisense RNA 1
Source: Ensembl